This is a non-coding RNA of Paramuricea clavata, 1108 nucleotides long. The record is from the annotation of a GenBank genome assembly. Lineage: Eukaryota; Metazoa; Cnidaria; Anthozoa; Malacalcyonacea; Plexauridae.
CUCUUUAUUCAGAUUAUGGCGAAAUUUGAAAUGCAACCACUUUACGCGUGCCUAUUCGAUUACAUACGCCAGAAUACGAAUCGCACACGACAAAUCGUAGCGCGUAAACAAAGCUUAAAAAAGUGCGAGAAUGACGUCUAAAUUUCUAGGUCUUCAAUAAUUCAUUUCGGCUGUCAUCCUGCCAGCUGAAAGUCUAUGUUCUUGCCAAAACGGUAGAACUCUGUCCGAACUCUGUAAUUUGGCUUCCCAUAAUUAUUUUACAAUGUUCUGUUGAAUAACGUAAAUAACGAAUUUCAGAUUUGAUUUCCACUACCACUACCUCACACGGGCUUGGUAGUUACGCAUCUGGUUGAUUAAUUGAAAUAAUCAGACCCAUCUGAUUGGUUAAUGAUGCCUUAAAGGUAGUGAUAGCGGUAGUGGAAGUCAAACCUGUAUCUCUCUAAUUUCAAAUAUCUUAAAUAUUAUUCAUCUGUUCCUUUUUGAAUGCACUUCUCAACUCAUUGUAAUCCUGAAAUCCAGUUUGUUUCCCAACGACUUCCAGCCACUGUGCCUGAAUAAUUUCUUUAGUUUUGUCAUCCAUCAACUCUCGUCCUUCCGUUGCAGAUCCCGUGACAACCUUACUGGCUACAACAUCAUCAGGUAUCCCACAACUUUUAUUCCGACAACGUGCGAGACGAACAUUUGAAAACUUUCUCUCAUUUUUCUUCAUAAAUUCAAAGGAGCUCAUGUUCACAGCCUUCUUAAUCCUUUCCUCAUCUUGAAUUCCUAUGAAUGCUGCAACCAUCCUAACUACACUUUCUAAAUCGUCUUUCAUAUCCUCAAAGAACAGAAAUAAAACAUUCGAGUCAUUCCUGUGUUCCCACCAGCUGAGCAAGUGGACAAAAAAGGACGCAAAUAUCAUCUUCUUUUUUGGUAUUCCAAGAGCAAGUAGAUAAUCCUUUACAAAUUCGUCAAGUAAAACUUUCCCUGGUUGAAAUAACCAACCCUUGAAGAAGUUGAAGUGACUGUAGAAUGCAGCACAUGGUUCACGGUAAAUAACAAUGUAUUUUGAUGCACCCUUGGGACACGAAGGAUACCAUGCAUGAGUCUUGUAACAUCUAACAACGAG